AGAUUGAACGCUGGCGGCAUGCCUUACACAUGCAAGUCGAACGCGAAAGGGGGAGCAAUCCCCUUAGUAGAGUGGCGAACGGGGUGAGUAAUACAUCGGAACGUGUCCAGUAGCGGGGGAUAACCUCUCGAAAGAGAGGCUAAUACCGCAUACGACCUACGGGUGAAAGGGGGGGAUCGCAAGACCUCCCACUAUUGGAGCGGCCGAUGUCGGAUUAGCUAGUUGGCGGGGUAAAGCCCACAAGGCGACGAUCCGUAGCUGGUCUGAGAGGACGGCCAGCCACGACUGGAACUGAGACCACGGUCCAGACUCCGUACGGGAGCCAGCAGUGGGGAAUUUGGACAGUGGGACGAAGCCUGAUCCAGCCAGUCGCCGCGUGA
This 380-nucleotide ribosomal RNA is filed under the name uncultured soil bacterium. RNAcentral describes it as "bacterial SSU rRNA". It matches the Rfam family "Bacterial small subunit ribosomal RNA", at positions 26 to 404 of the family's 1533-position model. The record is from RNAcentral.